CCACACGACUCUCGGCAACGGAUAUCUCGGCUCUCGCAUCGAUGAAGAACGUAGCAAAAUGCGAUACCUGGUGUGAAUUGCAGAAUCCCGUGAACCAUCGAGUUUUUGAACGCAAGUUGCGCCCGAGGCCUUUUGGCCGAGGGCACGUCUGCCUGGGCGUCACGC
RNAcentral lists this ribosomal RNA (165 nucleotides) under Eragrostis ferruginea. RNAcentral's name for it is "5.8S ribosomal RNA". It matches the Rfam family "5.8S ribosomal RNA". From Rfam's summary of the family: 5.8S ribosomal RNA (5.8S rRNA) is a component of the large subunit of the eukaryotic ribosome. Lineage: Eukaryota; Viridiplantae; Streptophyta; Magnoliopsida; Poales; Poaceae. The record is from RNAcentral.